AUGACCGCCACUAUGAGCCGCCGCCACACCAAGAUCGAGCAGCCCUCCGCCGAUUCGCCGGACAAGACCUCGUCAGCCGGCCCAUCUGGUAAUGUACCAGAGGACCGCGCCGCCUCUUCCUCUUCUCCCAGGCGCCACGAGGAGGAGGAGGUGAUCCCCGCCCCGCCGCGGAAGCGCUGGGAAGAUCCGCGCUCUCUGAGGCUCAGGCUGCUGAACCUCAUCCGUACCUUCUACCUGGAGGCGCUCUCCCGCCUGCCCGCCGCCCGACUCUGGAGCACGCCCGCCCGCGGCGUCCUCGUCGCCGGCCACUGCUACGGGCCCCUCUCCCCUGUCGACAAUAUCCUCGUCAACGCCAUCUGGUAUAACACCGCCUUUCCCCGCCGCCCCACCGUCGACUUUCACUUCGGCGAUGUGCUCGAGAUCAGCCCCGAAUGCAUCGCCCGCAUCGCUCACCGCUCCCUGGAGGGUCUCAUCGCCUGCCUCCUUCACCUCUGCCCCUCCCUCUCCCGCGACGACGCGCUCUGGCACCUCCACCUCUCCAAGGCCGACCUCUCCCGAGCCAUCGCCUCUGCCUCCGAUUCCGUCUCGGCGCCCACCCAAGCCGCCUUUCUCAAGGCCGCCGAGGCGGCGCACCACCCCAUGCCACACGCUUUGGCGCUCUUCGUCUCCUCGGUACUUCCCAAGGUUGAGCGUGAUGCGAGAAUGCUUCUCUGCGUCAACCGGGCGCUCACCGCCCCUGAGCUCGACCGCCUCUCUGACAUGCUGGUGCCCUCCCCGCUUCUGGAGGACCUCUAUCCUCCUCCCCCACUGGUGACGUCCUGGGUGGCCGCCGUAAUCAAGUCGCGCAUCGAAGGCUGCAAAUAUUCCCAGGAAACCUCACGCCAGCUGGUUGAGACUGCAUUAUCCAAAUAUGCUCAGCAAACAGGCCAACAUUAG
Molecule: ribosomal RNA, 936 nt
Filed under: Triticum aestivum (bread wheat)
Lineage: Eukaryota; Viridiplantae; Streptophyta; Magnoliopsida; Poales; Poaceae
Description: partial small subunit ribosomal RNA
Source: RNAcentral